This 1242-nucleotide long non-coding RNA is filed under the name Sus scrofa (pig). Its description in RNAcentral is "lncRNA (ENSSSCG00005032797.1)". The record is from RNAcentral. Lineage: Eukaryota; Metazoa; Chordata; Mammalia; Artiodactyla; Suidae.
GUUUUUUGUUUUUUUAGGGCUGUACCCGUGGCAUAUGGAGGUUCCCAGGCUAGGGUUCAAAUUGGAGCUGUAGCUAUAUGCAGGCCUACACCACCCACAGCUAUAGCAACUUGGGAUCCGAGCUGCGUCUGCAACCUACGCCACAGCUCACGAGAGUGCUGGAUCCUUAACCCACUGAGUGAGGCCAGGGAUUGAACCUGUGUCCUCAUGGAUACUAGUUGUGUUCUUAACCCACUGAGCCACAAUGGGAACUCCAAAAAACAGUCUUUAUUUCAGACUAGAGAGUGAUGAGCCUAAUCUCUCUCUUUCCCCGUCUCCCAUUUUUGCAGAUGAUAUCUUGCCCACCAUAAUAGUUGGUGUAGAAAAUGGAUUUGAAUCCAAGCCCAAUAUUGUUUCUUCCACCUAGUGCUUCCUCUAGAUUCCACCUAAGUCCAAGGAGGCGAUGUGAGACAGAAACAUUUUUAUUCCACAUGGAAAGAUUAUAAUAGCCUCUGACAUUGUGCUCCUCUGAUGAAGGAAAUGUCCAUGGUAUAAAUUUUUAUUGUGCAUAAAAUCACCUGGGAAGCUUGUUAAAAAUGCAGAUUCCUAGGCAGCUAGAAGCCUUGUCAUUGGUCCAGAGCAACAUGAAGACCUACUUGUCACUUACACUGAGGCUUCCUGCCCAGUGGGUUCACCAGCAAGCCAGAAGGAAGCAUCACUGCCAUGGAUGUCCUUGUGAGGCAGUUGUGAAGCCUUGGAGAGCUUUAGAAACAACUUGUCAAGUUUUCACCACAAAUACCAUUGGAGUUACAAUUGGAGUCUCACUGAAUUAUAGAGUAAUUUUUGGAGAGCUAUCAUCUUUAUAAUCUUCUCAUACAUGAAUGUGAUUGACUAUUGAUUAAUUUUUCAUCAACAUUUGCAUGGCAUACCUGGCAGGAUAUCAGAGAUACCUACCAGAGAACACCUGGAGGACAGCUUGAAUUGGCCAUUAGUACCAGCAUGUACCCUUUGAGACCCGCUGACUUCUUGGUAUCUCUCAGGUGUUCUGAAAAAGAAAAAAAAAGAAGAGAACUGGGCUAUUAGACCCCACAUCAAGAGACAUAAUUCACCUAGGGCAGGAGACACCCAUGGGAUGCAGAAGUUCCCCGGCCAGGGAAUGAACCCAAGCCACAGCAGUGACAAUGUUGAAUCCUUAACCAUUAGGCCACCAGGGAAAUCUGAAUAUUGUUCCUUUAUUUUAGAAUGAAUAAAUGCUUAUGGGAA